UAGCCGUAAACGAUACUCGCUAGGUGUCGGCCACGGUGCGACCGUUGUCGGUGCCGUAGGGAAGCCGUGAAGCGAGCCACCUGGGAAGUACGGCCGCAAGGCUGAAACUUAAAGGAAUUGGCGGGGGGAGCACCACAACGGGUGGAGCCUGCGGUUUAAUUGGACUCAACGCCGGGAAGCUCACCGGAUAAGACAGCGGAAUGAUUGCCGGGCUGAAGACCCUGCAUGACCAGCUGAGAGGAGGUGCAUGGCGUAGUCGUGU
This 262-nucleotide ribosomal RNA is filed under the name uncultured archaeon. RNAcentral's name for it is "partial 16S ribosomal RNA". It matches the Rfam family "Archaeal small subunit ribosomal RNA", at positions 748 to 1009 of the family's 1478-position model. The record is from RNAcentral.